This 207-nucleotide ribosomal RNA is filed under the name uncultured bacterium. Its description in RNAcentral is "partial 16S ribosomal RNA". It matches the Rfam family "Bacterial small subunit ribosomal RNA", at positions 568 to 774 of the family's 1533-position model. The record is from RNAcentral.
GGCGCAGACGGUUAUUUAAGCAAGAUGUGAAAGCCCCGGGCUCAACCUGGGAACUGCGUUUUGAACUGGGUAACUAGAGUGUGUCAGAGGGGGGUAGAAUUCCUGGUGUAGCAGUGAAAUGCGUAGAGAUCAGGAGGAACAUCCGUGGCGAAGGCGACUGCCUGGGCCAACACUGACACUGAGGCACGAAAGCGUGGGGAGCAAACA